Molecule: non-coding RNA, 155 nt
Filed under: uncultured Clostridium sp.
Lineage: Bacteria; Bacillati; Bacillota; Clostridia; Eubacteriales; Clostridiaceae
Source: RNAcentral
GUAAUGGUAUGGAUGAAGGAAGUGGUGUAACAAAAUUCUUGAGCCUACGAACAAAAACUUGAUAAGGCGAUUAGGUGGGUGAGGUUGCAUGACAAACUUAAGCCCAAAAGGUAAACGUAAAUCGAAGUUGUAAAUCAAGAGGUUCUGGAAUGAAA